This 463-nucleotide ribosomal RNA is filed under the name uncultured bacterium. RNAcentral describes it as "partial 16S ribosomal RNA". It matches the Rfam family "Bacterial small subunit ribosomal RNA", at positions 339 to 795 of the family's 1533-position model. The record is from RNAcentral.
CUACGGGGGGCUGCAGCUAAGAAUCUUCCGCAAUGGACGAAAGUCUGACGGAGCGACGCCGCGUGAACGAUGAAGGCCGUGAGGUUGUAAAGUUCUUUUCCGAGGGGAGAAUAAGGAUGGCAGGGAAUGGCCGUCUGAUGACGUGAACUCGGGAAUAAGCCCCGGCUAACUACGUGCCAGCAGCCGCGGUAACACGUAGGGGGCGAGCGUUGUUCGGAAUCAUUGGGCGUAAAGGUGCGCAGGCGGUUAUGCAAGUCUGGUGUGAAAGGUCUCGGCUCAACCGAGGAAACGCGCUGGAAACUGUGUAACUAGAGUACAGGAGGGGGAGGUGGAAUUCCAGGUGUAGGGGUGAAAUCUGUAGAUAUCUGGAAGAACACCGGUGGCGAAGGCGAACUUCUGGCCAUGUACUGACGCUGAGGCACGAAGGCGUGGGGAGCAAACAGGAUUAGAUACCCUUGUAGUC